This 497-nucleotide ribosomal RNA is filed under the name uncultured bacterium. RNAcentral's name for it is "partial 16S ribosomal RNA". It matches the Rfam family "Bacterial small subunit ribosomal RNA", at positions 28 to 507 of the family's 1533-position model. The record is from RNAcentral.
GAUGAACGCUGGCGGCGUGCCUAAUACAUGCAAGUCGAGCGAACGGACGAGAAGCUUGCUUCUCUGAUGUUAGCGGCGGACGGGUGAGUAACACGUGGAUAACCUACCUAUAAGACUGGGAUAACUUCGGGAAACCGGAGCUAAUACCGGAUGAUAUUUUGAACCGCAUGGUUUAAAAGUGAAAGACGGUCUUGCUGUCACUUAUAGAUGGAUCCGCGCUGCAUUAGCUAGUUGGUAAGGUAACGGCUUACCAAGGCAACGAUGCAUAGCCGACCUGAGAGGGUGAUCGGCCACACUGGAACUGAGACACGGUCCAGACUCCUACGGGAGGCAGCAGUAGGGAAUCUUCCGCAAUGGGCGAAAGCCUGACGGAGCAACGCCGCGUGAGUGAUGAAGGUCUUCGGAUCGUAAAACUCUGUUAUUAGGGAAGAACAUAUGUGUAAGUAACUGUGCACAUCUUGACGGUACCUAAUCAGAAAGCCACGGCUAACUACGUG